UUACGGCCAUGUAACUUUGAAUCACUGGUUCCCGUAGAAUCACCGAAGUUAAGCAACGUCGCGACUAGUCAGUACCUCGAGGGGUGAUCGCUUGGGAAUACCAAGGGCUGUAAG
Non-coding RNA from Acanthosepion pharaonis, 114 nucleotides. Lineage: Eukaryota; Metazoa; Mollusca; Cephalopoda; Sepiida; Sepiidae. The record is from the annotation of a GenBank genome assembly.